UGGGAAUUUGGACAAUGGGCGAAGCCUGAUCCAGCAAUGCCGCGUGUGUGAAGAAGGCCUUCGGGUUGUAAAGCACUUUUGUCCGGAAAGAAAUCCUUGGCUCUAAUACAGUCGGGGGAUGACGGUACCGGAAGAAUAAGCACCGGCUAACUACGUGCCAGCAGCCGCGGUAAUACGUAGGGUGCAAGCGUUAAUCGGAAUUACUGGGCGUAAAGCGUGCGCAGGCGGUUUGCUAAGACCGAUGUGAAAUCCCCGGGCUCAACCUGGGAACUGCAUUGGUGACUGGCAGGCUAGAGUAUGGCAGAGGGGGGUAGAAUUCCACGUGUAGCAGUGAAAUGCGUAGAGAUGUGGAGGAAUACCGAUGGCGAAGGCAGCCCCCUGGGCCAAUACUGACGCUCAUGCACGAAAGCGUGGGGAGCAAACAGGAUUAGAUACCCUGGUAGUCCACGCCCUAAACGAUGUCAACUAGUUGUUGGGGAUUCAUUUCCUUAGUAACGUAGCUAACGCGUUAAAUCGACCGCCUGGGGAGUACGGCCGCAAGGUUAAAACUCAAAUGAAUUG
This 561-nucleotide ribosomal RNA is filed under the name uncultured bacterium. Its description in RNAcentral is "partial 16S ribosomal RNA". It matches the Rfam family "Bacterial small subunit ribosomal RNA", at positions 357 to 912 of the family's 1533-position model. The record is from RNAcentral.